RNAcentral lists this long non-coding RNA (451 nucleotides) under Pongo abelii (Sumatran orangutan). RNAcentral describes it as "lincRNA". The record is from RNAcentral. Lineage: Eukaryota; Metazoa; Chordata; Mammalia; Primates; Hominidae.
UUUACUUGUAAAGAAAACUAAAAUGAAGCUCAGCGCUUUCCUUACAUGCAGGAAAGAUGGGCCCAGGCCAUGGCCCUUGCCCCUUAAGUCGUCCUAGGAUGUCCCCUCCACACCCUCCAGCUAUGAGGGACUCACAAUUCCUUUCCCAAGCUGCCCAUGGGCAGCCCCAGGGCCUUGUGCCCCAGAGGCUGGGCUUGGCCCCCAUUUGUAUCCUUAGUCCGGAGGAGGACUGGCCCAGCAGAGGCUUUUGAGAGUCACAGGCUGCAAUGGUGUGGAAGGGAGACGCGGCUAGCAGAAAGCGAGACCACCCGGUCCACCACCGCAUCCUAGAGGGGCACUCAGAAAGGCCCAGAGCUGGAACGUCAUGCCUGGACUCCCUCACUAUUUGGAAAGACUUCUUUGGAGUCCUGUCAUCUAAGCUACAAUAAAGCUUUGUUCUUCAUUGGAAAAA